GGAAGUUAGGGUACUGCUGCAAAUUCCCAUCGAAAUGAGAUACCAGGCUGCCUCCUCUUUUCCCCAGCCCAAUCCCCUCUGAUUUGGGUCCCGGUUGCCCCUGCUUAGCAAGCACUUCCAACCUGGCUUGGAGAUCCCUGCAGGCGGCAGCCGCUUCCUCUUCCCUUUUCCUGGAUGCGAGUACCUCCGCGUUGAGUUGUGUCACUGCAUUUUGCAGGGCUGCUAGUUGCUGUUCUGUAGUCAUCUUGCCUGACUUUUGUGAGCUCGCGAAGCACCAAUCUUCUUCCCUCGCUGCGUCCACUCACGUUACGAGGUUUUUGGUGCAAAACUUUUGGAGAUGGAGCUUACUGUCAGAGCUGGCUCCAGGUCCCAGCUCACAGAGGACCAACGCUAGCCGGCAGUAAUGUACAAAAGUCUUUAUUGAAGUACAGUUUCCAUUUUCAAGCCGGAGCGCCCCAGCUCUACGUCUAGGGGUUAGAUCGGCGAAGCUCCAUCUGAGUCUCCGCCCCCUGUACACCAGUUUAAGAUUCUAGCCUUACUCCACCUCUUACGUCUCUCCUUUCUCCUCUGGGUCCUGCUACCCCCCGGGGUCCCUUCCUUCCUGGAUUCUUCUGACGCUGACCCCCUGACUCCUCCCCCUCUUUUCGGCGGGCUUUGGGACCUGGCUCCCUAUCCGGGCUGCCAACUGCGCCGCCCUCCUGUACAUUUGAACUUGGCGCGCGCGCCCAGCCUUCAACCUUCCUCUCGACCGUUUCCUCGCUCCCCGAUGGAGGCGUGGCCAAUCCUGACUCAUGUCCUCCCACUGGCAGUGCGCCGCCUGAUCCCGAUGCCUGGGACUCCUCCCCCCUACUGCACUCUGGUGUGGACGCUGGUCCUGAUUUCCAACUGCUGCUCUCUGAGUCCCCUCUGGCCCCUUCUUCCUGGGGUGUCCCCCUCGGCACCCCCUUGCUCUGACCAAGGGAGCCCCUUUCUGUGAAUCUUCCGAUUCGCUGGAAAGACUCAGAGACCUCGGACCGCUGUCAUCGCUAACAUUUCCUUCGGACUCCUCCCCCUCGCUCUCUAUUUCCUCCCUUUCCUGUGCCUCUGCUCCUGAACCCCUGACA
Non-coding RNA from Podarcis lilfordi (Lilford's wall lizard), 1103 nucleotides. The record is from the annotation of a GenBank genome assembly. NCBI's taxonomy places the organism in Eukaryota, Metazoa, Chordata, Lepidosauria, Squamata, Lacertidae.